Lemur catta (Ring-tailed lemur) is the source of this 3403-nucleotide RNA transcript. It is a transcript of the gene named NEDD4 binding protein 2 like 1, with no coding region annotated. NCBI's taxonomy places the organism in Eukaryota, Metazoa, Chordata, Mammalia, Primates, Lemuridae. The transcript has 9 exons. The record is from RefSeq and is a predicted model, not a curated record.
AGAGGGUCUGCGAGGGGCUUUCUCUCCACCCGCAGUAGCGCCUCUCACCGUUCUUUGCCCUGCACCUUUGCUUUCUUUUCUUCUUGGCAUGGGCACCACCUGACAUAAACUUAUUUAUCGGUUUCUUUUACUAGAACAUAAGCUUCAUGAGAUAUGACGUACGUUCCAUGAGAUCAGGAGCUUUAUUCUGUCCAGCUCCUAAAAGAAGGCCUGGCACAUAAUAGGCAUUCACCGAUCAGUUGAAUGGAUCUGUUAAUGAAAGGCAAUGUGAGAAGCCUCCUAAGAGGUGGAAGCUUAGAUGUCAGCAUGCCCUUGAGUAAAGAACAGGACCAAAGAGGAGAUUAUCCACAUAAAGAGAAGUGUAGAAGAAUGAAUGGGAUGUAGAGAACAGAUGAGCAAAAAGCGGAGAAAAGAAGGAACAGAGCCACUCAUUCCACAGUUCUCUCCAAUUCAGUACACAAGAUGACGAUUCCAUGUGACGAUGUUUGAUGUGUCAGCUCCUUUACCUAGCAGUUAUACUAAAAAGGAAUUUAAAAUGUAGGAUCAAAGAUGUAGCUGCUUUUCCAUUGAAGCAGCAGUCAAGAGAGUGCCCAAAGCGACAGUUUUCCUGUACAGCUAUAGCCUCUUCUGUUAUCUGUAACUAAUCUACAACGUUUUUGGAAAAGAUAGCUUAAGAAAAGUUAGUACUGAGGUGGGUGUGCCUGGUUCCUUCAUCUGAGCACGGUGAAUUGAGCAACAGAACACAAACACGGGAAACCCGCACGGUUGCGAGAGUCCACAGAAGGGCGCUGUUCACGUGCAAGGUACUGAAAGGAGUUACUGCAGGAUGGCAUAAGAGGGGCCGCACUGACAAAUGAGAACGAGGGCCAUCUGGGAGUCCGGCUUUGAAUCUUAGAAACAUGACCUACUUUGGUGGCAUGUGAGGGGUAAAGGCAAGAGAGAGAAGGACAGAUCGGGAACUCUUCACUGGCGUCCCCUUAGACACUGUGGCUUGGUGACAGUUGUGAGGCAGGCAGUGACUGAGCUCUGACUCUCCGAGGGCAGGGCUCAGCCCUGGCGAGGCGGUUGGCAGCACCGCAAGGGUCAGGCCACACCAGGCCUCGGGAGAGACUGGCCAUGUCAUCCGUAGCCUUGGCUCCCUCCCUGGGCUCAGGCUGCUGGGCCAUGGAGCCUGUUUUCCACUCCCAGUUUAAAGUCCUGGAGGAGAAUUCCAACAGCAUCCAGAGGAAGUGCUGGGAUCCAAGAAGAAUCCUUUCCCCCGGUCUCCUUUAGGGGGUAAAUUUCAAGUUUGGGUAAAAUUUUCACUGUACAGAGAUGAGUAAGUAGAAAUUCUCUGUAAAAGAGUUUGCAUACUUUGGGCAAGAGAGUAUUACACGCGAGAGCCAUUCAUACAUUCGCCAAGUAUUCAUUGUCUCCCGUGCCUGGCAUUCUUCUAGAUGCUUAGAAUAGGGCAGCGGACAAGAGAGAAAAUCCCUGCCUUCAUGGAACAUAUAUGCUAUCAGAGAAAAAUAUUUUCUGAAGGAAAGAAGGCCAUUUUAGACAGCAUCUGCUCUGUUCUGUUCUCUAGGAAAAAAAAGGAUCCCAUGGCUAUUCCGCUUGAUGUCGGUAUCCCCAGGAAACGUCCACAAAUGCACAAGAGAUAGGCGUAAUGAAGCCCACUGAAACUUGCCAGGGAAAAUUGCAAACAACCUAAAUGUCACUAGAGAAAAGGAUAAGUAAACGUGGCAGUGUUCUAGGUACUUGGGAAUCAUCAGUGAACAAAACAAAGAUCCUGCCCCUGUGGACCUUAUGUGCCAGAGACAAUUGCAACAUGACUUUCCCAGAGCCCUGAUUUUCAGCACGGAUGAUUUUUUCUUCAGGGAAGAUGGUGCCUAUGAGUUCAAUCCUGACUUCCUGGAGGAAGCUCAUGAAUGGAACCAAAAAAGAGCAAGAAAAGCAAUGAGGAAUGGCAUAUCCCCCAUUAUUAUUGAUAAUACCAACCUCCACGCCUGGGAAAUGAAGCCCUAUGCAGUCAUGGCACUUGAAAAUAACUAUGAAGUUAUAUUCCGAGAACCUGACACUCGCUGGAAAUUCAACGUUCAAGAGUUAGCAAGAAGAAACAUUCAUGGAGUUCCAAGAGAAAAAAUACUUCGAAUGAAAGAACGGUAUGAACAUGAUGUUACCUUUCACAGUGUGCUUCAUGCAGAAAAACCAAGCAGAAUGAACAGAAACCAGGACAGGAAUAAUGCACUGCCUUCCAACAAUGCAGGAUACUGGAAUACCUAUUCUGAGUUUCCAAACCGGAGGGCUCAUGGCGGCUUCACAAAUGAGAGCUCCUUCAACAGAAGGGGUGGUUAUCACCAUGGAUAUUAGAGGCCUAUCUUAACAGCCAUUCAAAAUUUUCCUAAGUCAGUUUUUACUUCAAUUUUUGGUAUUUAUUCUUUGUUCUGUUUUAGUCAGAGCUCUAAUUCCAGUGUACAUAGUUGAACUCAAAAGUUUCUGAGCAGAAGUCAUUAUAUUCAUUAUCUUCAACAAGCAUUUGUUAAAGUGCUCCUGUAUGCAUGGUCUGAUACUGGGAAUUCUGCAGAUUUGAUUAAACAGCCUCUUUCUAGAGAAAGAAUUAAUUUGAAACCAAAACCUGAGAACAUACCCAAGAACAUAAUCAAUUACACAUUCUGAUUUAAGAAUGAAGAAUCAGUGAAAAGAAAACACCACUGUAAUAUCUUAUUCAUCCUGACUUUUGAACUGGAUAAAACUACAGCAGAACCAACACAGGUGUUUCAUAUUUUGUGCCACAACUCCGUGGUGGCUGAAAUGCCUUCUGUGCAGCUGGAGAAACAAAUGUACAAAUGGGACUAACAGGUGGAGGGUAUAUAAAUCUGAUGAUGGACGCCAGACACUCAAUAUAACUGUUGAGAAAAAUAUGAAAAAGACACAAUGGGAAGAACUGAUACUCAUUAAAAUUCUUGUCUAAAAAUCAAAACAGAUAAUAAAGACUAAGGAUUGUAGGCACUGGUAGUCCAAUUUGCUCCUCUGAUAUAAACUAACUUUAUACUUUACCUAGCAUUUGUAAUCAUUUUAUUAAUAAGAUUAUUUUUUAACUUAACAAAAGUGAUAAAAACAAAACAUUUACACACUGACCUGAAUCUUUUUCCUUUUUUGCAUAGCUUAUAACACGCAACUUCCACACAGUUGUAACAUCCCUUGAUAAACCUUGUUCGCCUUGUUCAGCAGACUCCAUAGCCUUCCUGAAUUCCAACUGGAUCUGUGCUUGUUUCUUAUCAUUCAACAUUUGUCUGUAAUUAUUCAAGGCUCUUAACUGCUCUUCACUGAAAUAAUCCUGUGACCAUUUAAAAUAUUGGAAUAAAAAGCAAACAAAACAAAAAAGUCCCAUCUAUUGUAACUGGAUCACUCUAAAUGGGAA